GUGCAGCAGGCGAGAAUUUUUCUCAAUGGGGGCAACCCUGAAGGAGCGACGCCGCGUGGAGGAUGAAGGCUUUCGGGUUGUAAACUCCUGUCAUUUGAGAACAAGUGGCCGAACCUAACUACUUCGGCCUUGAUAGUAUCAGAAGAGGAAGGGACGGCUAACUCUGUGCCAGCAGCCGCGGUAAUACAGAGGUCCCAAGCGUUGUUCGGAUUCAUUGGGCGUAAAGGGUGCGUAGGUGGCGCCGUCAGUGGGGUGUGAAAUUUCGGAGCUUAACUCCGAAACUGCAUUCCAUACUGCGGUGCUUGAGGACUGGAGAGGAGACUGGAAUUUACGGUGUAGCAGUGAAAUGCGUAGAGAUCGUAAGGAAGACCAGUGGCGAAGGCGGGUCUCUGGACAGUUCCUGACACUGAGGCACGAAGGCCAGGGGAGCAAACGGGAUUAGAUACCCCGGUA
RNAcentral lists this ribosomal RNA (453 nucleotides) under uncultured organism. Its description in RNAcentral is "bacterial SSU rRNA". It matches the Rfam family "Bacterial small subunit ribosomal RNA", at positions 346 to 792 of the family's 1533-position model. The record is from RNAcentral.